This 696-nucleotide long non-coding RNA is filed under the name Daucus carota (carrot). Its description in RNAcentral is "long non-coding RNA (DCAR_LNC000678)". The record is from RNAcentral. Lineage: Eukaryota; Viridiplantae; Streptophyta; Magnoliopsida; Apiales; Apiaceae.
UGCUAACACCUGGCCUCUUUUUUCUUGUUACCACAUUUUUGCACACAAUAAAUAAAUCCUUGAGUUUAAGCUCCUCCUUGUAAAAAUAGCAGAAAAAAAUAUUUUCUAAAAUACCAUCAAGAAGAGAUAAAUAAAAGAAAAGUGGGUUGGGUUGGGUUCUUGAUCUUGUUAAAGAUCUUGAGUUGUAGUGGUACUUGUGCUGCCACUUUGUUGUGUUACUAGUCAUGAAGAGACUUAGCAGUUCUGAUUCUUUGGGUGCUUUGAUGUCCAUCUGUCCAACAACAGGUGCUUACUUAUCACUCUCUUUACAUUUUUUUUAAUUUUAUUGCACUUUUUAUUUAUUCUUCUUGAUUAUACCCAUUUCAUGUUUUCUUGUCUCAUGUUUCCAACUUCAUUUUGUGCUCAUAAAUGUGGCUUUAGUGUUGUAUGCUUGAGUUUUGGUAGAUCAAGUGUGUGUGUGUGUGUUUCCCAAUUUAGUAACUUUACAUGAUUUUGAAUCAUCUUGAUUUCCUUUCCUAGUUUUGGUUUGUUUGUGUGUGCUCCCAGUUUAGUAAGUUUACAUGAUUCAGAGUGAUCUUAGUUUCCUUUACUAGUUUGGUUAGUAAGUUUGUUCCCAAUUAAGUAACUUUACAUACUUGCACUUAGCUUAAUUGCUUAAGAUUAAGGUUUGGCUGAUAUUUAUAAUUGAUGUUUGAU